RNAcentral lists this transfer RNA (85 nucleotides) under Felis catus (domestic cat). It matches the Rfam family "tRNA". From Rfam's summary of the family: Transfer RNA (tRNA) molecules are approximately 80 nucleotides in length. Their secondary structure includes four short double-helical elements and three loops (D, anti-codon, and T loops). Lineage: Eukaryota; Metazoa; Chordata; Mammalia; Carnivora; Felidae. The record is from Rfam by way of RNAcentral.
GCCUCAAUGGCUCAGUCGGUUAAGCAUCUGACUUCAGCUCAGGUCAUGAUCUCACAGUUUGUGGGUUUGAGCCCCAUGUCGGGCU